AAGAACUUAAUUUAAAAUUUAAAAUAUAAUGUUGUCAACAUUGUUAUACUCCCGUACGGAGUAGUUCUUG
Molecule: transfer RNA, 70 nt
Filed under: Pediculus humanus corporis (human body louse)
Lineage: Eukaryota; Metazoa; Arthropoda; Insecta; Psocodea; Pediculidae
Description: tRNA tRNA-Asp
Source: RNAcentral